GAUGAACGCUGGCGGCGUGCCUAACACAUGCAAGUCGAGCGGCAGCGAGGGGUGCUUCCCCCCUGUCGUCGAGCUGCAGACGGCUGAGUAACGCGUGGGAACGUGCCCCCAAGUGCGGACUACCUGCCCGAAAGGGUAGCUAAUGCCGCAUCGUAUCUACGGCUCAAAGAGUUGGUCAGGUUUGGGCGCGGCUCGCGUCGGAUUAGGUAGUUGGUGAGGUAAUGGCUCACCAAGCCGACGAUCCGUAGCCGGUCUGAGAGGAUGACCGGCCAGACUGGAACUGAGACACGGUCCAGACUCCUACGGGAGGCAGCAGUGGGGAAUCUUCCACAAUGGGCGAAAGUCUGAUGGAGCAACGCCGCGUGCAGGACGAAGGCAUUCGUGUUGUAAACUGCUGUUAUAAGUGAAGAAUAUGACGGUACCUUAUGAAUAAGCACCGGCUAACUACGUG
Molecule: ribosomal RNA, 451 nt
Filed under: uncultured bacterium
Lineage: Bacteria
Description: partial 16S ribosomal RNA
Rfam family: Bacterial small subunit ribosomal RNA
Source: RNAcentral